AGAUUGAACGCUGGCGGCAUGCCUAACACAUGCAAGUCGAACGGGAGUAGCAAUACUCUAGUGGCGGACGGGUGAGGAAUACGUAGGAAUUUGCCCUUAAGUGGGGGAUAACCCGGGGAAACCCGGAUUAAUACCGCAUGACCUCGAAAGAGCAAAGUGGGGAUCGCAAGACCUCACGCUUUUGGAGAAGCCUACGUCGGAUUAGCUAGUUGGUGAGGUAAUGGCUCACCAAGGCGACGAUCCGUAACUGGUCUGAGAGGAUGAUCAGUCACACCGGAACUGAGACACGGUCCGGACUCCGUACGGGAGGCAGGC
This 315-nucleotide ribosomal RNA is filed under the name uncultured soil bacterium. RNAcentral's name for it is "bacterial SSU rRNA". It matches the Rfam family "Bacterial small subunit ribosomal RNA", at positions 26 to 352 of the family's 1533-position model. The record is from RNAcentral.